RNAcentral lists this ribosomal RNA (479 nucleotides) under uncultured bacterium. RNAcentral's name for it is "partial 16S ribosomal RNA". It matches the Rfam family "Bacterial small subunit ribosomal RNA", at positions 28 to 507 of the family's 1533-position model. The record is from RNAcentral.
GAUGAACGCUAGCGGGAGGCCUAACACAUGCAAGCCGAGCGGUAUUGUUUCUUCGGCAAUGAGAGAGCGGCGUACGGGUGCGUAACACGUGUGCAACCUGCCUUUAUCUGGGGGAUAGCCUUUCGAAAGGAAGAUUAAUACUCCAUAAUAUAUUGAACGGCAUCGUUUAAUAUUGAAAGCUCCGGCGGAUAGAGAUGGGCACGCGCAAGAUUAGCUAGUUGGUGAGGUAACGGCUCACCAAGGCGAUGAUCUUUAGGGGGCCUGAGAGGGUGAUCCCCCACACGGGUACUGAGACACGGACCAGACUCCUACGGGAGGCAGCAGUGAGGAAUAUUGGUCAAUGGGUGCAAGCCUGAACCAGCCAUCCCGCGUGAAGGACGACUGCCCUAUGGGUUGUAAACUUCUUUUGUAUAGGGAUAAACCUACCCUCGAGAGGGUAGCUGAAGGUACUAUACGAAUAAGCACCGGCUAACUCCGUG